AACUGCUUUUAUGUGGGAAUAAAGUGAGCUACGUGUAGUUUAUUGCAGGUACCACAUGAAUAAGGACCGGCUAAUUCCGUGCCAGCAGCCGCGGUAAUACGGAAGGUCCAGGCGUUAUCCGGAUUUAUUGGGUUUAAAGGGAGCGUAGGCCGUGGAUUAAGCGUGUUGUGAAAUGUAGACGCUCAACGUCUGAAUUGCAGCGCGAACUGGUUCACUUGAGUAUGCGCAACGUAGGCGGAAUUCGUCGUGUAGCGGUGAAAUGCUUAGAUAUGACGAAGAACUCCGAUUGCGAAGGCAGCUUACGGGAGCACAACUGACGCUGAAGCUCGAAGGUGCGGGUAUCAAACAGGAUUAGAUACCCUGGUAGUCC
Molecule: ribosomal RNA, 370 nt
Filed under: uncultured Prevotella sp.
Lineage: Bacteria; Pseudomonadati; Bacteroidota; Bacteroidia; Bacteroidales; Prevotellaceae
Description: bacterial SSU rRNA
Rfam family: Bacterial small subunit ribosomal RNA
Source: RNAcentral